CUCCCUAUCGCGCCGAGCUCCAUCCAAUAGGCGGGGGAAACCGAAAGUGGAUGGAGGCGGGGGACCCACCGGUCCACCGCGAUCGGACUGGAGUCGCUUGCGGCUCCUCGGGGUGAAGCCGGCGCCGUCUCCCAUGGGAGGGCGACGCCGGCCGGGUAGCCUCUCCAACCCGAACCCGACAGCUGACCUCGCAGGCGCGUUACGAGAGAGGAA
Molecule: regulatory RNA element, 213 nt
Organism: Mycobacterium heidelbergense
Lineage: Bacteria; Bacillati; Actinomycetota; Actinomycetes; Mycobacteriales; Mycobacteriaceae
Rfam family: c-di-AMP riboswitch aptamer (ydaO/yuaA leader)
About the family: This family represents a conserved RNA structure found upstream of the ydaO and yuaA genes in Bacillus subtilis and related genes in other bacteria. The ydaO/yuaA element is thought to act as a genetic "off" switch for the ydaO and yuaA genes in its native state.
Source: Rfam